AUGAGAUUACUUCAUAUGCAACUAAAUCAUAUGCAGUUGCUUGUUAUAAUUGACAACCGGACAAUAAUGUGUAUUGGUUGCUUGAAUAAUGAUUGUCAAUUCAUCGAUGCAAAGCUAACACAAACGCACUUGCCAAAUUCAGAUAUUGGCCAAUUUGAUAUUAAGGGUGCAUCAUGGACAAGACAUGGUUGUCUAAGCCUAGGCAUGUCAAGUUUAUUUUUUUGCCAACUCAUAAGUGGUAUAAUUAUGUCAUUAGUUAUUCUGAUAUCUAAAAAGUACAUGUAGGCACACAAAUUUGCUGGUUCAAACAGUUGUUGACCACUUCAUACAAUGCAUUUGCUGGUUCAAACUGAUGUGCACACAACGGCAUCUGUGAUCUACUCAUUUUGCCACUUUAAAAUAAAUAGAUGCAAAUUUGAUGUAUUUAGUAUGUUCAAUUUGCUCAUAGGGGUUGUUUGCUUGACCUUGUGCAUGGUGCCAAAAAGCUACAGCGGCAGGCUUUUCCGUCAAAGGAAAUUGAUACACACUAGAAAAACUUACCUAUUUCUAUCAGGUUUGAAGUAUAUUGGUCGUGAAUGAAAGUCUAUUGGGACCCUAAGCAUCAUAUUGGAUCAUUGUGACAACAACGAGUAUUCACAAGUGUGGUACCCACCCACCUAGUGUGUAUGGAUGUGAUCAUAGUGUUAGGUGGCAUUUUCCUCUUUGCAGUAUUUUGGACCGGCCAACUUGUGAUCAUGAAUCUAAUUUGUGUUCUGGACCAUUUGGCGCUUCAAAUGUAGUAGAAAUCUUGUGGUCAUGGAUGUAACUUAAGUGUUUUGGACCAUUUAGUGUUUAAACUCUUUUAGAACAGCAAAUAGUGGUUCCUUUAUGUGACUUGUGUUUUCUGGAUGGUAGUCAAGAUGGACAAACUUUCCUUUGUCAAGGUUGUCCUUUUUUUGAACUUGUGAUCAAUAUAUAUGU
Long non-coding RNA from Hordeum vulgare subsp. vulgare (domesticated barley), 960 nucleotides. RefSeq lists it as uncharacterized. Lineage: Eukaryota; Viridiplantae; Streptophyta; Magnoliopsida; Poales; Poaceae. The transcript is spliced from 3 exons. The record is from RefSeq and is a predicted model, not a curated record.